GGGGAUUUAGCUCAGUGGCAUAAGCACCUGCCUUGCAAGCAGGCAGUCCUGAGUUCGAUCCCAGUAUCGAUA
Cavia porcellus (domestic guinea pig) is the source of this 72-nucleotide transfer RNA. It matches the Rfam family "tRNA". Rfam says of the family: Transfer RNA (tRNA) molecules are approximately 80 nucleotides in length. Their secondary structure includes four short double-helical elements and three loops (D, anti-codon, and T loops). Further hydrogen bonds mediate the characteristic L-shaped molecular structure. tRNAs have two regions of fundamental functional importance: the anti-codon, which is responsible for specific mRNA codon recognition, and the 3' end, to which the tRNAs corresponding amino acid is attached (by aminoacyl-tRNA synthetases). tRNAs cope with the degeneracy of the genetic code in two manners: having more than one tRNA (with a specific anti-codon) for a particular amino acid; and 'wobble' base-pairing, i.e. permitting non-standard base-pairing at the 3rd anti-codon position. The record is from Rfam. NCBI's taxonomy places the organism in Eukaryota, Metazoa, Chordata, Mammalia, Rodentia, Caviidae.